Molecule: long non-coding RNA, 872 nt
Organism: Magnolia sinica
Lineage: Eukaryota; Viridiplantae; Streptophyta; Magnoliopsida; Magnoliales; Magnoliaceae
Exons: 2
Source: RefSeq, a predicted model, not a curated record
GGUCUUCUGAUUUUUUGAAGGGUGAGGGAAAGCUCCUGUCUGACUCAACCGUCGCAUUCUUUUGAGUUUUGGGUCUUACCAUCAGCGGCUGGAUUGUAUUGUGUAGCUUGUGCCUGCUUUAUCUGUGGUUCCCCUUCCCUUUGUGUUGGGGAGUCUGCUUAGCUUUGUACUUGAUGGGCAGUGCUCUGGCCUGUUUGUUGUUUGCUGCAGCAGUUGCACUUGGUUUGCAUGGUUGGGGAGAAUGCUGCAGCACUGUGGGGCUGUUCCACCAUAAUUUGAAUGGAUGGAUGGUUGCUUUUGGUUGGUGACUUGGUGUAUUCAAUUUGGGCAGCCAGUUUGUAUAGUCCUGUUUUUGGAUAGGUUUACAAUAGGUCCCAGCUGGAGAUUCCAUGAAAAAUAUCCAAAAGUCUAAGCAGGUGCAUUCUGAAGGUGAGUUUACUCGGCCAAUGCUGUUGUGCUGAGCAGUUGGUAAUGGGCUGCGUAGGGGGCUCUGUUCUGGAUUGAAGUAUGGGAGUUGGUUGCAGGGGAGUGUUGAGCUGCUCUGUUGAUUCUAAUUAGUAGGGAUGGCUAAGCUGAGUGUCUGCUGAUACUGUGUAGGGAGAAAUAAGCCAAAGGAGGCUCGUCCUGUUGAUCCGUUUAUGGUUUGUUGAGGCAGGCAAUCUGCUUAAUAAGGAUGUCGAUCUGGUAGUAGUAGCACUUCUUUCGCUUCAGCUGUCUUCUUUGGGUCUCUUCGGUGUAGGUUUCCUGUGCUGUUUGGAACUUUUUUUCUGAGGCCAUUUGUGAUUCUUUUCAUGUGGUUUGGGGGCUGCACUAGCUCUGUUUUGUUUUCUAAGAAUCAGGCAUAUGGUUUUCUGUAAUGUUUGUUUUGGUCA